This 867-nucleotide unclassified non-coding RNA is filed under the name Leishmania donovani. RNAcentral describes it as "gene:LdHU3.31.0270(CDS-product:hypothetical_prote in)". The record is from RNAcentral. Lineage: Eukaryota; Euglenozoa; Kinetoplastea; Trypanosomatida; Trypanosomatidae.
UGGCAGUGAGGCGCCCACGCAUGUCUCCGCAUACAGACGCGCAUCCGGACACACAGAUGGAAUGCCUCAUUUUCGCUGCACGGUAUCAGCCAGAGGCGCGCACGCUGGAAUUCGAGCUGACCGAUGCGCCUCUCGUGGACGCCGUCACGGACGUCACUGUCACCCCGUGCGGUGCUGCAGCGCCUCUGUGGAAGACACCUGCCACGCAGCAGGGACUCUUUUAUGGUCGCAACACGUUUAUCCUGGAUCGCCCGCUUCUCUUUGCUGAUGACCGCAUCGCGCUCGUGUGCUGCGUGCGCGUGCGUCAGCAGCGCCCCAGCACCCUUGCAGCGCUCGCCUCAGACGUCUUGUGCGGCAGCGCUGAUGGGUCGGCUGUCCAUUGCGCCGGUCCACAAGACAUCAGGGAGUACGCCAUGCUACUCACCGAGGCGCCUAACACCAGCAGGUGUGAUGUGCACAACAACGCGUUCGUGUACCUCACCUCUCAGGCGUUGCCUCCCAUUAUGGCGGUCACAUCUACUACGAUGGUAUCCCCCUUGCCGCCGGAGCCGCCGAUCACGCACCUGACAUGCGCGCGUGAGAGGUCUCCGCCCUCUUCUCUUCCCGCGCUCUCUGCUCUUGCGCUCUGCUACCUUUAGCGGUGUCUCGCCAGAAAAACAAAAACGGUAAGUGAUGAGCAGAAUGGAUCCAUGUGAGGCCCUACGCGUGUGUGCGUGUGUGUCUGGUGACCCCCUCCUUUUCUCCUUUCGUCUGAUGCUGGAGCGCUUCAUCCCUUGCUAUUCUCCUUUCUUCUUCUGUCCUUCUCCACGCGUGCGCGCCGUCUUCGAUGAACGCGUGAGCGACGACACACACACACACACACACAAG